AGUAGUUUGUCCUGGCUCAGGACGAACGCUGGCGGCGUGCUUAACACAUGCAAGUCGAACGGAAAGGCCCUGCUUUUGUGGGGUGCUCGAGUGGCGAACGGGUGAGUAACACGUGAGUAACCUGCCCUUGACUUUGGGAUAACUUCAGGAAACUGGGGCUAAUACCGGAUAGGAGCUCCUGCUGCAUGGUGGGGUUGGAAAGUUUCGGCGGUUGGGGAUGGACUCGCGGCUUAUCAGCUUGUUGGUGGGGUAGUGGCUUACCAAGGCUUUGACGGGUAGCCGGCCUGAGAGGGUGACCGGCCACAUUGGGACUGAGAUACGGCCCAGACUCCUACGGGAGGCAGCAGUGGGGAAUAUUGUACAAUGGGCGGAAGCCUGAUGCAGCAACGCCGCGUGCGGGAUGACGGCCUUCGGGUUGUAAACCGCUUUCGCCUGUGACGAAGCGUGAGUGACGGUAAUGGGUAAAGAAGCACCGGCUAACUACGUG
This 487-nucleotide ribosomal RNA is filed under the name uncultured Propionibacterium sp. Its description in RNAcentral is "bacterial SSU rRNA". It matches the Rfam family "Bacterial small subunit ribosomal RNA", at positions 1 to 507 of the family's 1533-position model. The record is from RNAcentral. Lineage: Bacteria; Bacillati; Actinomycetota; Actinomycetes; Propionibacteriales; Propionibacteriaceae.